GUGGGGAAUAUUGGGCAAUGGGCGAAAGCCUGACCCAGCAACGCCGCGUGAAGGAAGAAGGUCUUCGGAUCGUAAACUUCUAUCCUUGGUGAAAAUAAUGAUGGUAGCCGAGAAGGAAGCCCCGGCUAACUACGUGCCAGCAGCCGCGGUAAUACGUAGGGGGCAAGCGUUGUCCGGAAUGAUUGGGCGUAAAGGGCGCGUAGGCGGCCUGGUAAGUUCGGAGUGAAAGUCCUGCUUUUAAGGUGGGAAUUGCUUUGAAAACUGCUGGGCUUGAGUGCAGGAGAGGUAAGUGGAAUUCCCGGUGUAGCGGUGAAAUGCGUAGAGAUCGGGAGGAACACCAGUGGCGAAGGCGACUUACUGGACUGUGACUGACGCUGAGGCGCGAAAGUGUGGGGAGCAAACAGGAUUAGAUACCCGGGUAGUCC
This 425-nucleotide ribosomal RNA is filed under the name uncultured bacterium. RNAcentral describes it as "partial 16S ribosomal RNA". It matches the Rfam family "Bacterial small subunit ribosomal RNA", at positions 354 to 796 of the family's 1533-position model. The record is from RNAcentral.